Molecule: long non-coding RNA, 2658 nt
Organism: Piliocolobus tephrosceles (Ugandan red Colobus)
Lineage: Eukaryota; Metazoa; Chordata; Mammalia; Primates; Cercopithecidae
Exons: 5
Source: RefSeq, a predicted model, not a curated record
AUUAGCAUGUUUGGGAUCCACUACUGGAUGGUUAACAGCAGCUUUUGUAACUGUACGCCGACCAUAUCCAAUUAUGCUCUGCUAAAAAUGAACUCUUUGCAGACCAACCCUCUCGGCUGUCAGUGUUUUCCGUUUUCCUAUUUUAACGUUUGUGUAUAGUGGCAGGCGACAGAUGGUGUAGAUCAGAUCGAUUUGAUUGCAUUAGAUGAUUUUUUCCCUUCCCCACUCCUUUCUGGAAGCUCGCAUCAGCUGAAGGCUAUCGCCUGGGACUCCUCGGAAGCAUGAGCAAGCCGCCACCACGCGAAGGCACUGGGGCACAGCCAGCGCCAGGCGCCGAGGUCCCUUCCCAGGGCUUGUUAACACUGUAACCCGGCACUCGGAGAGAAGAAGCAGCUCCCACUGCCCAGAGCCUACCUCACUGCACAUCAGAUGACUCCUGGCUUCUACACACAGUUGGAGUCCCGCUUGAAACCUGGAUUUAGAGGGGUUCUCUGGCUGCCAUGGCACUCAAUCAAACCACCUAGAGUGGACUGGCCGAGACCAGACUGGGUACCAAGCAGAGAAGUGCAGAGGAAGGCACUGGGAGAGCACCAGAAUUGGAAAUAGAGCGGCCAUUUGGAUUUGGGCAGGAAGCAGCCGAGCACAGCUUUGGAUCCUUCUUUAGGGAAAUCGAGUUAUGGAUUUAUGGUCCCGGUCAAGCUCAGCCCAUCCCCAGCCAGGGGCGGGCUCAGCGAGCAGCAAGAGUUCUGGUGGCGGUGGCGGCGGCGGCGGCAGUAGCAGCGGCAGCGGUAGCAGCGGCAGCGGCAGCUUGGUCCUCUUGACUCUCUUCGGUGACGGGUAUUCUUGGGUGGAUAAUACGGAUUACGUUGUUAUUGCUUAAGAAUACGCGUAGUCGAGGAGAGUACCAGCGGCAGGGGGGCAGCGGCCGCCCUCCCCAGCCCACCAGCUGGCCACUAAACGCCCGUGGUUGCCAAGGCAUCCAAAGCCUCUGGGAUAUGUUCUGACUGUAAAAACUCUGAUGUUGUGAAAAAAGCUGAUGCUUUGCCUCCACUCAAACCAGAUGGUGUUUCACUCUUAUUGCCCACGCUGGAGUGCAAUGACAUGAUCUUGGUUCUCCACAGCCUCCGCGUCCGGGGUUCAGGCUAUUCCCCUGCCUCCGCCUCCCAAAAUGCUAGGAUUACAGGCAUGAGCCACCACAUCCGGCCAGCAUUCCCAAUUUUUAAAAAUGAAUGAUUGGCACAAAUCUUAGAAAGCCAUUUUCUGUAGAUUUGAAAGUAAUGUUAUUUACAAUGUGAAUACCUUCUUGCUAAAUCUUGCAUGUCUGUGGUAUGUGUUGUAAUAGAAACUUAAGAUCAUGGUCUGCCAUAUUCAUAUUUUAAAAAGAAAAUUUCAGACUGUAUAAUCAAUUGGUUGAUUAUUAAUAUUUGCUUGUACAAAGUUAAUAGUGUAACUUGUCAGAAAAGAAGGAAGCCUGAGAAGUAUUUUAAAUACAUUAAUAAGAGGGGUUCUAAGUGAAUUAAUUUUUGUUUUACCAUCUACAGAGUUCCUGCCGCAUUCUAGGCACUUCAUAUUUGCUGCAACAUUUAUUCUGACAUUGACAGAACAAGAGAAAAGAAGUUAAAUUUUAGGUACCAUGGAUUUAAGUUAAACACAAGGAAGAUAUUUUAUAGGACCAAUUGUUAAUCUGUAUUUAACAGGAUAUUCAUUUAUUUUGGGUGACAUAAGGAUGGCCCCUUCUGGAAACAGGAUUACCAACAUAUGGACCUAUUUAGGUCAAUUUCAACCUUGUGAUUUUGAAUCUGACAGGUUCUCAGCUGCUUUUAUUAAAUAACGGAUUUUCUUAAUAAUUAUAGUACUAAAACUCAGCAAAAAGCUAUCACUUUUUAUAGCCCAGUUUUUUAGUCACACAGUAUUGUGUCUUGUCAAACUGAAAUCAUAUACUAUACUCUUUACUUAUUAAGAGGGUCUUUUCUUUGUACUAAUUUUGGAGUAAAUAGUUUACUUAUCUAAACAUCUGAUUUCUGAUUUAAUAGAUUUCUGAAGCAUUUAUUUUCCUUAUAAUACAUAAAAAUUGUCAGUUGAGGACAAGGAAGGAAUAACCUGGACUACGGCAAAUAAUUGUGUCGGUUGCUUACUGUGUAACUCCAGAGGAGCUGGAGACUUUGCUCCUGGAGACUUUGCACAUGGUAGACUUUGCAGAUUUAGGUAUUACUACAACAAUUUUCUGGCAGAUAGCAGUGGAACACCUUGUUCUAUUAAAAUUAGUUUAUUAUGACAAAUUGCCUACAGAUGGACAUAAAGUGUCUUGAGGAAGGCACCUCCUUUGAACUGAAUUUUGUCCCCCAAAAAUCAUAUGUUGAAGCCUAAUCUCCAAUGUGAUGGUAUUUGGGGAUGGGGCCUUUGGGAGAUAACUAGGUUUAGAUGAGGUCGUGACUGUGGGGACUUCCUGAUUAGUACCCUGAAAAGAGAAGACACUAGAGAGCUGGCCCUCUGUCUCUCUUACCCCACAGGCACACAAAGAGUUCAUGUGAGUAUGCAGUGAGAUAACAACCAUCUGUGAGAAAACAGAAGAGGCUUCAGAAUGAAAUCUACUUUGCUGGUACUGUAGUCUUGGACAUUAUCCUCUAGAACUGUGAGAUAAUGAAAUUUAUCUUAUUU